UCCGUUACGUGGAUUUACCUUUUUCGGGCAUCUCACCAGGUAGCCCGCCACACGUGUCGUCCGCUCCGUUCUUUGCUUUUAUUCCAACGGUUAUUAAAUUGGAGUUGGAUCGGACGGCUAUUAUCGGAGGAGGAUACUUGGGCUACGUGAUGGGCGAUUGGGGAAAAGCGAAGGGGAGCUUUAACUUGAUGGUGGUGUUUGAAUGAUUGAGGUGGGAUUAAAGUGCAGCGGACACCGGAAAGGGCGUGGAACAGGGGAAGUGGGCGUCCCUCUCCAUCGCUAUCAGG
RNAcentral lists this long non-coding RNA (287 nucleotides) under Elaeis guineensis (African oil palm). RNAcentral describes it as "long non-coding RNA (EGUI_LNC023841)". Lineage: Eukaryota; Viridiplantae; Streptophyta; Magnoliopsida; Arecales; Arecaceae. The record is from RNAcentral.